UAGGGAAUCUUCCGCAAUGGACGCAAGUCUGACGGAGCAACGCCGCGUGAGUGAAGAAGGAUUUCGGUUCGUAAAACUCUGUUGUUAGAGAAGAACAGCGCAUAGAGUAACUGUUAUGCGUGUGACGGUAUCUAACCAGAAAGCCACGGCUAACUACGUGCCAGCAGCCGCGGUAAUACGUAGGUGGCAAGCGUUGUCCGGAUUUAUUGGGCGUAAAGCGAGCGCAGGCGGUCAAUUAAGUCUGAUGUGAAAGCCCACGGCUCAACCGUGGAGGGUCAUUGGAAACUGGAAAACUUGAGUGCAGAAGAGGAAAGUGGAAUUCCAUGUGUAGCGGUGAAAUGCGCAGAGAUAUGGAGGAACACCAGUGGCGAAGGCGACUUUCUGGUCUGUAACUGACGCUGAUGUGCGAAAGCGUGGGGAUCAAACAGG
RNAcentral lists this ribosomal RNA (429 nucleotides) under Bacteroidota bacterium. Its description in RNAcentral is "Bacteroidetes bacterium partial 16S ribosomal RNA". It matches the Rfam family "Bacterial small subunit ribosomal RNA", at positions 355 to 776 of the family's 1533-position model. The record is from RNAcentral. Lineage: Bacteria; Pseudomonadati; Bacteroidota.